RNAcentral lists this long non-coding RNA (839 nucleotides) under Fukomys damarensis (Damara mole-rat). Its description in RNAcentral is "lncRNA (ENSFDAG00000022824.1)". Lineage: Eukaryota; Metazoa; Chordata; Mammalia; Rodentia; Bathyergidae. The record is from RNAcentral.
UGCCGCCGGGAGAGGUAGCUGAGCUCUGGACCGUGUGGCUCCGAGGUCCGGAGCUGCCCCCAGUCGGGUCGCAGGCCCCAGUGGCGGCGGCAUCUGGAGCUCCGAGCCUGCCUCCCCGCGGCGAUGUCACCUGCCUCAAGCCGCCCGGCUUGCGUAUCCCUGGCUGGGAAGGAGCACGGACGCUGCUGCCUGUGUCCGACACAAACAAAAGGAUUUGUCCCAGACACCCAAGAACAAGCCAGGACGAAGCUCUUUCCCGCCAAACGAAGACCGGGAAGUGAACAGCGCCUGCCCAGGCUCCGGAAGCCAGAGCCGGGAGGACAGGGCGGUAAGAGAAUCUGGGGGACCGAAGGAGGGAGAACCCCAGAGCUGGGGAGAGGAGGCUGGGAAAAGGAAGAGGGAGGAGGAAGGGGGCGAGGGGACGUUGUAAGGGUCCCCUCCCCCAUUUCAGAGCUGAAGACGGCCGAGGAGGAGGACGAAGACGAAAAGGCAAAGGAGAAGGAGAAGGAGGUGAGACAAAGGGAUCCCCCCUCCUCUGGGACGAGGAAAGUGCGCUCAUCCAUUCCCUGCAGGCUUUGGAAAAACUGGCAGAGAUCUCGCCGUGAGAAGUCACCCACGACAGUCUGCCGCAAACGGACUCAGGGCCGGGCAGGAGGGCGGGCUCGAGGGCGGGGGCCAGCUUUGAUCCCUGGGCUCUGCGGUAAUUUUGUCUUUGCCACACAGAUUAGCUGGAGGAGCCAGCCCCGGCGGCGAGGAGUUCCGUUCCGUGGAGUCCCCUAUUUCAGAGCUGAAGAGAGGAGGACGAAGACGAAAAGGCAAAGGAGAAGGAGAAGGAGGUG